UAAAUGCACCUUUACCUCCUCAGCUUUACCCUGCAAGUAGAGUAUCUCUAGCCUACCAUCAUGCAUAAUUGUUCUUUUAAUUGCCAAAAGGUUAUAUUACUAUCAUUUAGCUUUAAUCCAAAUAUAAGUCUCCUAGCAAAAAGUAUCAUCCAGCGCUUCAUCAGAUUUCCCAUCGACUGAGUUCAAUAAGCUAGAUGUACUAAGCAAUAUUGCAGCCUCCUCGUAAUAUAAAUUGCAGUUUGUAGUAGCUAUGUUGUCACUGAUUUGGAGUCAAGUAUGGUACCUACUGUACCAUUCAUGUUAAUCAAGAGUAAGUAUGAUAUAAUAGUUGUCCAUAUGAGUGAUAUGCUUACCUUGGUGUUACCCUUUUCUGAUAUAUACCACAACUCUUGCAAUAGGAUGUGUCAGUUUUCUUGGUAGCAAGUUUGUGACAAUCUUCACAUCACAUGUACCACCAUUGAAUAUCAUCUUGUAACUGAUCUAUUGUAGCUAUUGUUGUGAACACAAAAUUCUAAAUAUCUUAAAAACUCAAGAAAUUGAAAGACACAAAUAAGUCAACUAAAUCUCAUUAUAACUAACAUUACACGUCUCAGAGACUCGUUAUCCAGGAAGAGUGAUGAUAGCAUACAUUGGAACUCGUACCUGAUUUCUCCGGAUUCAUGUAUCACUCUAACGGCAAGACGUCACAGGAGUGUACUGGAUGCAUCGUGUCUUUGAUCCUCCGGCAUGACGGACUGGAUAGCCUGCAGUCAUGGUUUCGAUCUACCGGGCGUUCGAGCAUCACUUGUGUGUUCAAACCCAUCAUGUUUCAGCGCACGCAUUGGGUGUUUUCUCACCUUCAUGUGUUACGACAUCCUUGUGUAAUUGUGUUUGUAGAUGCCUAUGCUUGAAAGAAAUCAAUCAGGCCAUAUGAAAAUCAAGUAGAAAAUAAUUGACCAGAUUGUACUUUGCCUUUGAUAGACGUGCACGUGACGGACUUGUAUACAUCUAUUUAGGCAGGUUGACUGGUUCUAGUACAUGGAUCCGUAUAUGACGAUGAGUCCUGGCUUGCAUUGUAGUAGUACUUCUUUUUGACCUGCGUAUAUGUUGUAGUAGUAGUAGGAUAGGGUUCCAUAUCUGAUUUCGAUUGUAACUAAAAAAGGAUUGUUUAUUCCCCUUCAAAGAAAAAGGAUUGUUUAUUCUUGUA
This is a non-coding RNA of Triticum urartu, 1186 nucleotides long. Lineage: Eukaryota; Viridiplantae; Streptophyta; Magnoliopsida; Poales; Poaceae. The record is from RefSeq and is a predicted model, not a curated record.